Molecule: ribosomal RNA, 745 nt
Filed under: Bacillus amyloliquefaciens
Lineage: Bacteria; Bacillati; Bacillota; Bacilli; Caryophanales; Bacillaceae
Description: bacterial SSU rRNA
Rfam family: Bacterial small subunit ribosomal RNA
Source: RNAcentral
GUGGGGUGCUAAUACAUGCAAGUCGAGCGGACAGAUGGGAGCUUGCUCCCUGAUGUUAGCGGCGGACGGGUGAGUAACACGUGGGUAACCUGCCUGUAAGACUGGGAUAACUCCGGGAAACCGGGGCUAAUACCGGAUGGUUGUUUGAACCGCAUGGUUCAGACAUAAAAGGUGGCUUCGGCUACCACUUACAGAUGGACCCGCGGCGCAUUAGCUAGUUGGUGAGGUAACGGCUCACCAAGGCGACGAUGCGUAGCCGACCUGAGAGGGUGAUCGGCCACACUGGGACUGAGACACGGCCCAGACUCCUACGGGAGGCAGCAGUAGGGAAUCUUCCGCAAUGGACGAAAGUCUGACGGAGCAACGCCGCGUGAGUGAUGAAGGUUUUCGGAUCGUAAAGCUCUGUUGUUAGGGAAGAACAAGUGCCGUUCAAAUAGGGCGGCACCUUGACGGUACCUAACCAGAAAGCCACGGCUAACUACGUGCCAGCAGCCGCGGUAAUACGUAGGUGGCAAGCGUUGUCCGGAAUUAUUGGGCGUAAAGGGCUCGCAGGCGGUUUCUUAAGUCUGAUGUGAAAGCCCCCGGCUCAACCGGGGAGGGUCAUUGGAAACUGGGGAACUUGAGUGCAGAAGAGGAGAGUGGAAUUCCACGUGUAGCGGUGAAAUGCGUAGAGAUGUGGAGGAACACCAGUGGCGAAGGCGACUCUCUGGUCUGUAACUGACGCUGAGGAGCGAAAGCUGACCCC